GAUGAACGCUGGCGGCGUGCCUAAUACAUGCAAGUCGAGCGAACAGACGAGGAGCUUGCUCCUCUGACGUUAGCGGCGGACGGGUGAGUAACACGUGGAUAACCUACCUAUAAGACUGGGAUAACUUCGGGAAACCGGAGCUAAUACCGGAUAAUAUAUUGAACCGCAUGGUUCAAUAGUGAAAGACGGUUUUGCUGUCACUUAUAGAUGGAUCCGCGCCGCAUUAGCUAGUUGGUAAGGUAACGGCUUACCAAGGCGACGAUGCGUAGCCGACCUGAGAGGGUGAUCGGCCCCACUGGAACUGAGACACGGUCCAGACUCCUACGGGAGGCAGCAGUAGGGAAUCUUCCGCAAUGGGCGAAAGCCUGACGGAGCACCGCCGCGUGAGUGAUGAAGGUCUUCGGAUCGUAAAACUCUGUUAUUAGGGAAGAACAAAUGUGUAAGUAACUAUGCACGUCUUGACGGUACCUAAUCAGAAAGCCACGGCUAACUACGUG
This 497-nucleotide ribosomal RNA is filed under the name uncultured bacterium. RNAcentral describes it as "partial 16S ribosomal RNA". It matches the Rfam family "Bacterial small subunit ribosomal RNA", at positions 28 to 507 of the family's 1533-position model. The record is from RNAcentral.